GCCUCUUUAAUGGUUGCAGCUCGAGCUCCUUCAUUUGCAGAGAAUAGCUUCUGAAAAUACUCGGAGAUAACAUUGAGGAUCCCUGCCUCUUCAUACUCAGGUACUCCAUCCUCCUUUUCUAUCACUGAGAACUUAUUUAUCACCGUUCUACCUCUAGUGAUGGCAUGGAAGUAACCCGAAUUUUUAUCUCCUAAGGCAAGCCAUAACUGUCUGCUUCUCUGCUUCCAAUACUCUUCCUCUGCCUUGUAUGCUAAGAGCAAAUUAGUAUUGAUAGUCGAUAACAGCUCUUGAUUGUGAUCUUGACUAGACAUUGCCUCUUCAAGUUUUUGACGAUUUUCCUCAAUAAGUUUUUGACUACUUUGCUGCUUAGCCCUAGACCACUUAACAAUUUCCAAACGACAUCUGCUAAUUUUUUCCUCCACAAUGUCUGUAUCAUAAAGAUUCCAGGCCUCUUGAACAAGGGCUGUGACUUCAUCGUUGUUUUUUAGACGCCUAUCGUAACGAAACACUCCUUUUUUCUUUUUCUUUGACAGGUCAAAGUGGGUAAGAAGUGGUCUGUGGUCUGACCCUUCAAAGCAAAGGUAAAUGCAUCUACUAGCAGGAUAAUCUUCAGCCCACGCUCCAUUGGACAAUGCACGAUCAAGCCUGCAAUGCACAACAUGAUCAUGUCUCUUUCCACGCCAAGAUAAGAAAUUCCCUGAAUGUCUUAAAUCAUACAAAUCACAUUCCGCCAUAAAUGAUCUAAUGUCCACAAAAGUUCCUUCAUAUCUUGCAGGUCCUCCUUGUUUUUCAGAAGAAUCUAUGAUAUAAUUGAAUUCUCAGUAAGAUACCAGGGUUCACUUCUAUCUUUCCCUAAACUGGUAAGCUGAUCCCAUAUAGCUUUCCGCUUUGAUCUGUCUGGUUCCCCAUAGAUGAAAGUAGCAAAGAAGUGUUUACCCGCCGCCUUAAUCUUUGUGUCAAUAAAGUUGUUGCAGGAAUAAAGGAUUGUCACUUCUACUUCAUGUUUCCAGAGAAGGGCCAGACCACCACCUCCUGGGCUAUGCGGGGGAACAAGGUGAUGUGCAGAAAAAUUCAUCCAGUUUAAAGAGGUGAGGGUUGUCUCAUUGGGGUUCUUGGUUUCCAUAAGGAACAGAAUUUCUGGUGAGAUUGAAGAAUGCAUCUCACGCAGCCGUUGUACUGUUGUGGGGCUCCCCAAUCCACAACAGUUCCAGCUCAGAACUUUUAAGGAAUCUGAUUUGGUAGAUGGUGAAAAUCCACCUUAUCUUUCACUCUUGCAGGUAUAAUAGUUACUCGUGGAGUAGGUUGACUUGAGGAAGGGUUGGAGGCUCCAGGUUGGAGGAGAAGCUUUUGCUUUGUUUUCGUGGUUCUGCUAGGGCCAGCAGAUUCUUGUAUGUGAGCUUCAUUCUUCUCAGGUGUGGAUUUCCUUUUAGGGGAGUUCUGGAUAAGUCCCUUUCUUUUGCUUGAUUUUGCUCCCAGCAAUGGUAAAGCAGCUUUGUUUUGGGGUUUAGCUAAAGGUGGACGUCCUCUUUUCUUUUUUGCAGGAGCAACACAGCUUGUAGUCUGAUCAGCCGGAUGACUUUGUAGGUCUUGGUACUGAGAGAGAUUAUCUUGUGUUGGAAGAUCUUCAGAGGCAAGGUAAUUUUGGUUUGAGAUGAGUGCAGCUUCCAGCAUUAUAGAAGCUGUUUCUGCCAUGAGUCCUUUUUCUUCUCCUUGAAAAACUCUUCGUUUUCUUGCAGCGCUUUCAGUUGGGUGUGCACAACUAACAUAUUGCAGAGUGACGUCUCUAAGCUCUCCCAUGAUUUGGUCAUUAGUAGGGAUGGGAGGAGGAGGUGGUGGAGUAACCUCAUAAGAAUCCAGGUUUCUCUCCAACGGGGGACGUCUUGUUCUCGAAGUUUCAGAGCUAUCAUUUCUAGGACUGAGUCUAUGUGUGGCUCUAACCCUCCAUUGAGGAGUCUGAGAAGAAUCUCUUCUUGGCCCCUCUCUAAUAGGAUCCUGAUAUCUUGAGGUACCCCUUUUGUCUCCUGUCUCAUGGCGACCUAAAUUCCUUCUGUUAGGGUUAAAAGGAUUUCUGUGUCUUCUCUCCUCAUAGGGUCCAGCUCGGCGAGAUAGAUGUUCUCUAGAAGUUGAGGUCUACUCCUCUUACUUUUCCAAGAUCUUGAGAACGACUUUGAUUAAUAGAAGGGUUUCUUGAAGGCGCUCUUGAGGGAGAUGAUUCUCUUAGAGAUCUAGGGGCUAUGAAAUUGUCUCUAGGAGUGUAAUAAUUUCUAGCCAGAUCCUUGGAUGCCUCUUCACUUCUGGAAGAUCUGAACUUUGUAGUGUCCUCAUUUUCUGAAACCAGAUCUGGACAGAAUUUCUUUUCAUGAGUAAGUCUUAGGCAAUGUGAGCAGUAAUUUUUGAGAUUCUUGUAGACUAACGAGAUCAGAGCUUCGCUGCCAUCAGGAAAGUCUACCAUGGUGUCAAGGACUAGCGAUUUCAGGCCAUCAACAAAGACCUUUAGCUUUGCUGAAGAAUUGGUUAUUUCAAAAUCCAGAAUUUCUCCCAAGUCUACGCCAAUAGCUUUGAGCAUAUCCUGGUGCCAGUAAUGUUUUGGGAGUCCUUGGAUAUCAAUCCAAAAGGGGAUCUUAGAGGUAAAGGUGUCAGAGAUUGUAGGUUCCCACUUCUGAAGGAUGACCAUCCAUUGAUCAUAGUGGUAAGGCUUAUUGUCUAGUACUUUUUGCAUGUCUUCUUCAAAGUCAAAACAAAACUGGAAGCAGCCUCUUCCCAGAUCUGAACCCGUAGCUUUUCCUUUCAGAUUCCACCGGUUUGAGAGGAAAGGAAAGAGAGACCAUAAUCGUUGGAUAGAUGGGUUUGUGAGGCGAUCCAUUAGAGUUAGGGAAUUAGCUUCGAUGAGGUCUGAAGUGUCCAGUUCUGGUGCACGAAUUCUUCUUCGAAUUGGUGGGGAUAGUUCUCUCUCUAUUCAUUUACCUUUGAGAUGGUAGGGGAUUCUUGAACUCAUGAUUACAGAGGGCGUAAGGUUUGAAGCGGAGAGGCAUCAGGGAUAAAGUAGAGAUUCAAACAGUUUCAGGGUUUCAAACAGGAUAACAGGGAUACACAUGAUUAAAAGUUUGAAA
Molecule: long non-coding RNA, 3110 nt
Filed under: Arabidopsis thaliana (thale cress)
Lineage: Eukaryota; Viridiplantae; Streptophyta; Magnoliopsida; Brassicales; Brassicaceae
Description: long non-coding RNA (ATHA_LNC000689)
Source: RNAcentral